ACUUUCAACAACGGAUCUCUUGGUUCUGGCAUCGAUGAAGAACGCAGCGAAAUGCGAUAAGUAAUGUGAAUUGCAGAAUUCAGUGAAUCAUCGAAUUUUUGAACGCAUAUUGCGCCCCUUGGUAUUCCAUGGGGCAUGCCUGUUCGAGCGUCA
Molecule: ribosomal RNA, 153 nt
Filed under: Ampelomyces sp. HMLAC203
Lineage: Eukaryota; Fungi; Ascomycota; Dothideomycetes; Pleosporales; Phaeosphaeriaceae
Description: 5.8S ribosomal RNA
Rfam family: 5.8S ribosomal RNA
About the family: 5.8S ribosomal RNA (5.8S rRNA) is a component of the large subunit of the eukaryotic ribosome. It is transcribed by RNA polymerase I as part of the 45S precursor that also contains 18S and 28S rRNA. Functionally, it is thought that 5.8S rRNA may be involved in ribosome translocation.
Source: RNAcentral